GGAUAACUUACCCUUAGGACUGGGAUAACUCUGGGAAACUGGGGAUAAUACUGGAUAUUAGGCUAUGCCUGGAAUGGUUUGCCUUUGAAAUGUUUUUUUUCGCCUAAGGAUAGAUCUGCGGCUGAUUAGGUCGUUGGUGGGGUAAUGGCCCACCAAGCCGAUGAUCGGUACGGGUUGUGAGAGCAAGAGCCCGGAGAUGGAACCUGAGACAAGGUUCCAGACCCUACGGGGUGCAGCAGGCGCGAAACCUCCGCAAUGUACGAAAGUGCGACGGGGGGAUCCCAAGUGUCAUGCUUUUUUGUAUGACUUUUCAUUAGUGUAAAAAGCUUUUAGAAUAAGAGCUGGGCAAGACCGGUGCCAGCCGCCGCGGUAACACCGGCAGCUCGAGUGGUAGCUGUUUUUAUUGGGCCUAAAGCGUUCGUAGCCGGUUUGAUAAGUCUUUGGUGAAAGCUUGUAGCUUAACUAUAAGAAUUGCUGGAGAUACUAUUAGACUUGAAGUCGGGAGAGGUUAGAGGUACUACCGGGGUAGGGGUGAAAUCCUAUAAUCCUGGGAGGACCACCUGUGGCGAAGGCGUCUAACUGGAACGAUCUUGACGGUGAGUAACGAAAGCCAGGGGCGCGAACCGGAUUAGAUACCCGGGUAGUCCUGGCCGUAAACGAUGUGGACUUGG
RNAcentral lists this ribosomal RNA (671 nucleotides) under uncultured archaeon. RNAcentral describes it as "bacterial SSU rRNA". It matches the Rfam family "Archaeal small subunit ribosomal RNA", at positions 102 to 771 of the family's 1478-position model. The record is from RNAcentral.